Long non-coding RNA from Patella vulgata (common limpet), 1120 nucleotides. RefSeq lists it as uncharacterized. The record is from RefSeq and is a predicted model, not a curated record. NCBI's taxonomy places the organism in Eukaryota, Metazoa, Mollusca, Gastropoda, Patellidae. The transcript has 2 exons.
GGUUGACAUAAACGUGACACAUCAAGCCCUUUACAGUAUAUACGAAACUUGUCAGGUUAAUAAAAUAGCGGGUGUACUAAAUUCGUGUUUUAGUCAAUGUUAGAUUACGCUUGGAGAUAGUUGUUCAGUCGCCACAAGAGAUAUAUUCCAUAAAUGAUGAAGUCCGCUGGUUUUUUGUUAAUGCUUGGGGUGGUCCUAAUGGUCGUAUGUCAACAGGUUAACGCUCAACCGGUGAAAGACAACAAAUCCACAAACGAUGAGCUAAACCAAUUGCAACUCAACUAUAAUCGUCGACGCAUGCGUACACUUGAACUUAAACUUGCUAUGUCCAAGAAACAUAAUGACGAUACUGUUCCAUUAGGCAUUAUAUUGGAAAUGAGUCGGAAUCCGUUUUUGGCUCAUUUUAGAUCCAGGCAUAGCCAUUGAAUUCGACACCUUUCGUCAAAUUUUUGAAAUAAUCAGAUGACGUAUGUGGAUGGACCUAUACCACCUGGUGUCAUAAACCUUGAACCAUCCAGUGCCGGACUUAGAUAUAUAAACUUUAAAAGAAGCUACAAUCCAUGGCCUCGUAAUCGUCAGGGGACACACUGUUUUUGGGGUCCCGUUUCGGCGCGCAGCUUUGUGGGUUACUCAGAUUGUAAUUUUUUAAGAAGAGGUAUCCAAGCUUAAAAUAACGUAGAACCUCAAUAAAUCUAAGUCCGACACUGACCAUUAGGGAUUAGGCCCCAAGGCAGUUAAUUCACGAAAAUCUACAAUCAAUCCAGGUACAGACAGGAUCAGAUCAGAAGAGAUAAAAAAAAGAAGACCGCAUUGGUAAACAACUUUAUUUUAAAACUAGUUUUAAAAAUAAAACUCUUAAAGUUCCAGCGUCAGUCAAAAUGAAACACGACGGAUAAACAACAACCAACCAUGGUCCAGUAUUACACAACAAUAAUCAUGGCGGAUGAACAACCAUCCAUGGUCCAGUAUUACACAACAAUAAUCAUGGCGGAUGAACAACCAACCAUGGUCCAGUAUUACACAACAACAAUCAUGGCGGAUGAACAACCAACCAUGGUUCUGUAUUACAAAACAACAAUCAUGGCGGAUGAACAACCAACCAUGGUUCUGUAUUACAAAA